CCCUACUUCCCCGUUUUUGCGUGGAUAUUCAACUGGUAAAACUUCCAGAACCAUUAUGUGUUUUGGAUAAAGCCGAAAUGAUAAAAAAUUUGUGAAUAAUGUGUUAGAUGCUGAUCGACUUUGUGUGUAACUCAUACUAAGAGAUGCAAGCAACAAUAACAAGUCUCCUGAUGAAUGUUCCAGUCCGAGAGUUAAUAAUAAUAAGUUGGAAGCAAUGUGUCUGUAUAAGUUGUGGAAUAUCUUUGGGAAGGCAUACAAGAAGACAAAAUCACAGGCCAUAAGCUUAGGGAAAGAAAUGAAGAGUGACAUUAUAUAGAAAAACAAAAAUAUCUCCGAGACAGAUUCCUGAUGGAUGCUCAUGUAUGCGUUGCUUGCAGGAUGAGCUCACCUCAAAAGUAUUAAUAUCUAGUGAACAUAAGAGCUGUGUUAAGUGUGCCGUUCUGUUGCAUUGUAUGUAGUUAGUAGCUAUUUAUGUUCAUAAAUGUUGUUAAACUAUGAGCUUAAAUCACUUUAUAAUUUAUAUUAUCAUAUCAUUAAAUAGUUAAAUAAGCUAGUUAGGCACAUAACCCAUAUAUUUUAAUGUUAUUGUCAAGUUUAUUCUAUACCUACUUACUAAUAUGUUACCAUAUUAAGUUCCCUGACAUGAUUUAUGUUUUGACUAUGUACUAACAUCAGUAAGUAGUAACUGGGACCAGCAGCUUAACAUGCCAUUCGAAGCAUACUUCAGGCAAUCGGUUGAUCAGCCAGUCAUCUCCUAACCAAACUGGGGAUCACAAAGUAAUUUUUGUGGAUUUGAACCUAGGACCUCCAGAUGUGUUGACCCAACAGUCAGCCACUGGACCAUGGAGGCUGAGAGUACUUGGUUAAGUUGCUGUUUUAUUUCAACUAUUUAAUUAAAUGUAGAAAUAUUUUGUGUGGUUGCACCUACUUAUGAUAUUUUAAAUAUAUAAUAAAACAACUUAUUUCUAAAAAUA
Molecule: long non-coding RNA, 974 nt
Organism: Pectinophora gossypiella (pink bollworm)
Lineage: Eukaryota; Metazoa; Arthropoda; Insecta; Lepidoptera; Gelechiidae
Exons: 3
Source: RefSeq, a predicted model, not a curated record